UACGUAGGGGGCUAGCGUUGUCCGGAAUCAUUGGGCGUAAAGAGCGCGUAGGCGGCCAGACAAGUCCGGUGUGAAAGUCACAGGCUCAACCUGUGAAUGCCGCUGGAAACUGUCUGGCUAGAGUCCGGAAGGGGCGAGUGGAAUUCCUGGUGUAGCGGUGAAAUGCGCAGAUAUCAGGAGGAACACCGGUGGCGAAGGCGGAUCUCUGGGCCUUACCUGACGCUGAGGCGCGAAAGCUAGGGGAGCGAACAGG
This 253-nucleotide ribosomal RNA is filed under the name uncultured bacterium. RNAcentral's name for it is "partial 16S ribosomal RNA". It matches the Rfam family "Bacterial small subunit ribosomal RNA", at positions 524 to 776 of the family's 1533-position model. The record is from RNAcentral.